GGCGCUGUAGCUCAGUUGGCAAGAGCAUGAAUGAGGGCGCGGGUUCGAGUCCCGCCGGCGUCA
This 63-nucleotide transfer RNA is filed under the name Caudoviricetes sp. Its description in RNAcentral is "tRNA-OTHER". It matches the Rfam family "tRNA". From Rfam's summary of the family: Transfer RNA (tRNA) molecules are approximately 80 nucleotides in length. Their secondary structure includes four short double-helical elements and three loops (D, anti-codon, and T loops). Lineage: Duplodnaviria; Heunggongvirae; Uroviricota; Caudoviricetes. RNAcentral also lists the same sequence under 1 other name. The record is from RNAcentral.